UUUAUUCAAACUGGACCUUUAUUUAUUUUAUUCAUGAUAACCUCCAACUUUGACUGAGGAGACGGAGGGAGUACGAUGACAGUAACAGUUCAUUUCAGUUCAUUUAUUAUGGAGUCCAAGUAGCAGCAAGACUCAUUUAUUGAAGCAGUAGUAUCAGUACAAGGGGUCUAGUUCGGUGUCAGGUAAACUCCGAUGGCCUCAAUCAUUUCGCCCGCACGUCCAAAGAAGCCAAUGAUCUUACCCGAGGCUAGUGGAACAGAGAAAGGUAUUCCGCCACUGGAGCCGAAAGGUCCAUAGCUUUCCUUGUUGGUCCUCAGCAUUAGGUUCCUCACCAGAGU
RNAcentral lists this long non-coding RNA (338 nucleotides) under Musa acuminata (dwarf banana). RNAcentral describes it as "long non-coding RNA (MACU_LNC004513)". The record is from RNAcentral. Lineage: Eukaryota; Viridiplantae; Streptophyta; Magnoliopsida; Zingiberales; Musaceae.